AAGCGGAGGAAGGAAUGGGCAACGGUAGGUCAGUAUGCCCCGAAUAUCCCGGGCUACACGCGAGCUACAAUGGUUGGUACAAUGGGUAUCUACCCCGAAAGGGGACGGGAAUCUCCUAAAACCAAUCUUAGUUCGGAUUGAGGGCUGCAACUCGCCCUCAUGAAGCUGGAAUCCGUAGUAAUCGCGUUUCAACAGAACGCGGUGAAUACGUCCCUGCUCCUU
This 222-nucleotide ribosomal RNA is filed under the name uncultured Methanosaeta sp. RNAcentral describes it as "partial 16S ribosomal RNA". It matches the Rfam family "Archaeal small subunit ribosomal RNA", at positions 1117 to 1338 of the family's 1478-position model. Lineage: Archaea; Methanobacteriati; Methanobacteriota; Methanomicrobia; Methanotrichales; Methanotrichaceae. The record is from RNAcentral.